CUACAAAUAUGUCAUCUAAAAUCUCCCCUUAAAUUGAAGACAAACUAGCUAUUUAUAGGCCAUGGGUCUUUAUUACACAAUGGACCCAAAAGUGACCCUAAAAGCUAUUGGGCCCAAAAGUGACCCAAAGCCCAAAAUAAUGUCAUGGGCGUCCAUGCUCUCUCGAAGCCCAUGCUAUCUUCCAAACACGUCGUGGCUCAAUGCUCCCGUGGAUGACAUCAUCAAAUGUAGUUUCUCCUGCGCUCCAAGCUAUAAUCCACACACGUAUUUGUUCCCCUAAAACAACCAAAUCUUGGAU
Molecule: long non-coding RNA, 298 nt
Filed under: Capsicum annuum
Lineage: Eukaryota; Viridiplantae; Streptophyta; Magnoliopsida; Solanales; Solanaceae
Description: long non-coding RNA (CANN_LNC009732)
Source: RNAcentral